This 253-nucleotide ribosomal RNA is filed under the name uncultured bacterium. RNAcentral's name for it is "partial 16S ribosomal RNA". It matches the Rfam family "Bacterial small subunit ribosomal RNA", at positions 524 to 776 of the family's 1533-position model. The record is from RNAcentral.
GACGAAGGAUGCAAGCGUUAUCCGGAUUCAUUGGGUUUAAAGGGUGCGUAGGCGGCCCGGUAAGUCAGUGGUGAAAUCUCCUUGCUUAACAAGGAAACUGCCAUUGAUACUGCUGGGCUUGAGUACAGAUGCUGUGGGCGGAAUAUGACAUGUAGUGGUGAAAUACUUAGAGAUGUCAUAGAACACCGAUUGCGAAGGCAGCUCACAAAACUGUAACUGACGCUGAGGCACGAAAGUGCGGGGAUCAAACAGG